Molecule: long non-coding RNA, 1401 nt
Organism: Carassius gibelio (silver crucian carp)
Lineage: Eukaryota; Metazoa; Chordata; Actinopteri; Cypriniformes; Cyprinidae
Exons: 4
Source: RefSeq, a predicted model, not a curated record
GUUUCUCGUAGACUUUUGUCCUCCGCUUCUUCGAUGUUAAUUUUCAAUAAUAAUUUUGUCUCUCUUGUGUAUCUCAGUUAUAGCUCACAUUGUGCUCUCAUAUAUGUCAGAUUUUUUCUGAAGUCCCUUCUUAAAAGAGCAUCACUAAUUAGCAACAAAACUGAUGGAUCUCUCCAACCAGGACUGGCUGAGCAGUGAAGUCAAGCAGCCUGUUGGAGACAGCAGCAUCCACUGAUGGAGAAGGUCACAUGAGGUUUGACAGAUGCCCCUUGGUCUCUAAUCCGCACCCGGCUUAACUACCCACAAACAGGAGCCAAAGAGAUCCGGAUUUCAUUUCCCCUGAGCCUGAUGUGAGCCUGAGAAGAGCAGUUCCAGAUCUGAUUGGAUGGUGCCAGAAUGUUCGGGAAAUAAGGAGUUAGAUGUAAACAUGAUUUAGACUCAAUGGCUGUGGGGGUUGAUUGAGAAAAUAACAGGGUGACUUUCCCAAGCAUCCAUCUGUGAAGUUUCAGCUCUCCUCCAGCUCCUGAGGUGAGAAAACCUUAACGCUUUUAUUACUUUAAAUCUGAGGAAUAAUGGAAAACAAACAACUGAUCAUUCGGCUCUGGAAUAUCAGAGUCUUUAGUUUACCAUCUCCAUUUGUAGAAGCAGAGGCUUUGAUUGAUUGCUGUUUACAUUCUGAGGUUCAGUCACAUGUUUAUGUCAUUCUGCUGUUAACCUCCAUCUUUUCCUCACACCUUUACAAACAGUACAGCAGUGAUACCAUGGUCAACAGGAAUUUAACAAAAUCUCUCUUAAAUGCGUUCCCCAUCUCUCUGUCGGUGUGUUUUCACUUCUCGCCCUCACCGUCUCUGUAUAAUGUGCUCAUGGUGGCCCACUGCUGUGGCCAGUUGUGUGUUGUCACAGUAAAUUACUCUGACACACUGGAGGAGUGAUGGCUCUCAGUGGGUGGGAUGAAUGGAGAGGGUGUGUGUGUGUGUGUGCGUUGUGACAAUAUUGGGUUUGAUUCUGGCCUUCUUCACAGGACAUCCAUUUCCAGCAAUCCAUCUGGACUCUGCAGGAGUUUGUUUUGUUUAGAUCGAGCACAAUUAGAUCUUGAUUCUUCCAUCAUAAAUUUAUGUGACGUAUUCUUACAAAGCGAGUUUGAAUUUAAAAAUUAGGCAUCAUUUCAUGAAUUUAUAUAAAUAUAUAAAUAUAUACACUACCAUUCAAAAGUUUGGGAUCAGUAAGAUUUUUAAAUGUUUUUUAAAGAAGUCUUUUAUACUCGUCAAAGCUGCAUUUAUUUGUUCAGUACAGUAAAAACAGUAAAAUUCUGAAAUGUUAUUACAACUUAAUAGACCUGUUUCACUAUGAAUAUAUUUUAAACUGUAAUUGAUUUUGGUUAUCAUUUAUUUAUAGAGUCAU